This 500-nucleotide ribosomal RNA is filed under the name uncultured bacterium. RNAcentral describes it as "bacterial SSU rRNA". It matches the Rfam family "Bacterial small subunit ribosomal RNA", at positions 29 to 517 of the family's 1533-position model. The record is from RNAcentral.
AUUGAACGCUGGCGGCAUGCCUAACACAUGCAAGUCGAACGGCAGCACGGCAGUAGCAAUACUGUGGGUGGCGAGUGGCGGACGGGUGAGGAAUACGUCGGAAUCUGCCCAGUCGUGGGGGAUAACUAGCCGAAAGGUUAGCUAAUACCGCAUACGACCGAGAGGUGAAAGCGGGGGACCGCAAGGCCUCGCGCGAUUGGAUGAGCCGACGUCGGAUUAGCUAGUUGGUGGGGUAAAGGCCCACCAAGGCGACGAUCCGUAGCUGGUCUGAGAGGAUGAUCAGCCACACUGGAACUGAGACACGGUCCAGACUCCUACGGGAGGCAGCAGUGGGGAAUAUUGGACAAUGGGCGCAAGCCUGAUCCAGCCAUGCCGCGUGAGUGAAGAAGGCCCUCGGGUUGUAAAGCUCUUUUGUCCGGAAAGAAAAGCGCCGGGUUAAUACCCUGGUGUCCUGACGGUACCGGAAGAAUAAGCACCGGCUAACUUCGUGCCAGCAGCCG